Molecule: ribosomal RNA, 2568 nt
Filed under: Burkholderia pseudomallei
Lineage: Bacteria; Pseudomonadati; Pseudomonadota; Betaproteobacteria; Burkholderiales; Burkholderiaceae
Description: bacterial LSU rRNA
Rfam family: Bacterial large subunit ribosomal RNA
Source: RNAcentral
GCGGUAGCCUGCGAAAAGCUACGGGGAGCUGGCAAACGAGCUUUGAUCCGUAGAUGUCCGAAUGGGGAAACCCGGCCCUUUUGGGUCAUCCUAGACUGAAUACAUAGGUCUAGUGAAGCGAACGCGGUGAACUGAAACUCCAAGGCUAAAUACUCGUGAUCGACCGAUAGUGAACCAGUACCGUGAGGGAAAGGCGAAAAGAACCCCGGGAGGGGAGUGAAAUAGAUCCUGAAACCGCAUGCAUACAAACAGUCGGAGCCUCUUCGGGGGUGACGGCGUACCUUUUGUAUAAUGGGUCAGCGACUUACGUUCAGUAGCAAGCUUAACCGAAUAGGGCAGGCGUAGCGAAAGCGAGUCCGAAUAGGGCGUUCAGUUGCUGGGCGUAGACCCGAAACCAGGUGAUCUAUCCAUGGCCAGGAUGAAGGUGCGGUAACACGUACUGGAGGUCCGAACCCACUAACGUUGAAAAGUUAGGGGAUGAGCUGUGGAUAGGGGUGAAAGGCUAAACAAACCUGGAAAUAGCUGGUUCUCUCCGAAAACUAUUUAGGUAGUGCCUCGUGUCUCACCUUCGGGGGUAGAGCACUGUCAUGGUUGGGGGGUCUAUUGCAGAUUACCCCGCCAUAGCAAACUCCGAAUACCGAAGAGUGCAAUCACGGGAGACAGACAUCGGGUGCUAACGUCCGGUGUCAAGAGGGAAACAACCCAGACCGCCAGCUAAGGUCCCCAAAUAUGGCUAAGUGGGAAACGAAGUGGGAAGGCUAAAACAGUCAGGAGGUUGGCUUAGAAGCAGCCACCCUUUAAAGAAAGCGUAAUAGCUCACUGAUCGAGUCGUCCUGCGCGGAAGAUGUAACGGGGCUAAGCCAUAUACCGAAGCUGCGGAUGCGAGCUAGUCUCGCAUGGUAGGAGAGCGUUCCGUAAGCCUGCGAAGGUGCGUUGAAAAGCGUGCUGGAGGUAUCGGAAGUGCGAAUGCUGACAUGAGUAGCGAUAAAGGGGGUGAAAGGCCCCCUCGCCGUAAGCCCAAGGUUUCCUACGCAACGUUCAUCGGCGUAGGGUGAGUCGGCCCCUAAGGCGAGGCAGAAAUGCGUAGCUGAUGGGAAGCAGGUCAAUAUUCCUGCACCAUUGUUAGAUGCGAUGGGGGGACGGAUCGCGGAAGGUUGUCCGGGUGUUGGAAGUCCCGGUCGCUGCAUUGGAGAAGGCGGAUUCAAGGGUGUGGCGCGAGCUCCUUCGGGAGCGAAGCAAUUGGAAGUGGUUCCAAGAAAAGCCUCUAAGCUUCAGUCUAACGAUGACCGUACCGCAAACCGACACAGGUGGGCGAGAUGAGUAUUCUAAGGCGCUUGAGAGAACUCGGGAGAAGGAACUCGGCAAAUUGGUACCGUAACUUCGGGAUAAGGUACGCCCUGGUAGCUUGACUGGCCUGCGCCAGAAGGGUGAAGGGGUUGCAAUAAACUGGUGGCUGCGACUGUUUAAUAAAAACACAGCACUCUGCAAACACGAAAGUGGACGUAUAGGGUGUGACGCCUGCCCGGUGCCGGAAGAUUAAAUGAUGGGGUGCAAGCUCUUGAUUGAAGUCCCGGUAAACGGCGGCCGUAACUAUAACGGUCCUAAGGUAGCGAAAUUCCUUGUCGGGUAAGUUCCGACCUGGCCACACUGUCUCCUCCCGAGACUCAGCGAAGUUGAAGUGUUUGUGAUGAUGCAAUCUACCCGCGGCUAGACGGAAAGACCCCAUGAACCUUUACUGUAGCUUUGCAUUGGACUUUGAACCGAUCUGUGUAGGAUAGGUGGGAGGCUAUGAAACCGGAACGCUAGUUUCGGUGGAGCCGUCCUUGAAAUACCACCCUGGUUUGUUUGAGGUUCUAACCUUGGCCCGUGAUCCGGGUCGGGGACAGUGCAUGGUAGGCAGUUUGACUGGGGCGGUCUCCUCCCAAAGCGUAACGGAGGAGUACGAAGGUACGCUAGGUACGGUCGGAAAUCGUGCUGAUAGUGCAAUGGCAUAAGCGUGCUUAACUGCGAGACCGACAAGUCGAGCAGGUGCGAAAGCAGGUCAUAGUGAUCCGGUGGUUCUGUAUGGAAGGGCCAUCGCUCAACGGAUAAAAGGUACUCUGGGGAUAACAGGCUGAUACCGCCCAAGAGUUCAUAUCGACGGCGGUGUUUGGCACCUCGAUGUCGGCUCAUCUCAUCCUGGGGCUGUAGCCGGUCCCAAGGGUAUGGCUGUUCGCCAUUUAAAGAGGUACGUGAGCUGGGUUUAAAACGUCGUGAGACAGUUUGGUCCCUAUCUGCCGUGGGCGUUGGAAGUUUGAAGGGGGCUGCUCCUAGUACGAGAGGACCGGAGUGGACGAACCUCUGGUGUACCGGUUGUGACGCCAGUCGCAUCGCCGGGUAGCUAUGUUCGGAAGAGAUAACCGCUGAAAGCAUCUAAGCGGGAAACUCGCCUUAAGAUGAGACUUCCCCGGGGACUUGAUCCCCUUGAAGGGUCGUUCGAGACCAGGACGUUGAUAGGUCGGGUGUGUAAGCGCAGUAAUGCGUUCAGCUAACCGAUACUAAUUGCCCGUACGGCUUGAUCCUAUAACA